RNAcentral lists this unclassified non-coding RNA (305 nucleotides) under Trichoderma sp. RNAcentral's name for it is "partial contains 5.8S ribosomal RNA, internal transcribed spacer 2, and large subunit ribosomal RNA". The stretch from base 1 to 71 matches the Rfam family "5.8S ribosomal RNA", at positions 84 to 154 of the family's 154-position model. Lineage: Eukaryota; Fungi; Ascomycota; Sordariomycetes; Hypocreales; Hypocreaceae. The record is from RNAcentral.
GUGAAUCAUCGAAUCUUUGAACGCACAUUGCGCCCGCCAGUAUUCUGGCGGGCAUGCCUGUCCGAGCGUCAUUUCAACCCUCGAACCCCUCCGGGGGGUCGGCGUUGGGGAUCGGCCCUCCCUUAGCGGGUGGCCGUCUCCGAAAUACAGUGGCGGUCUCGCCGCAGCCUCUCCUGCGCAGUAGUUUGCACACUCGCAUCGGGAGCGCGGCGCGUCCACAGCCGUUAAACACCCAACUUCUGAAAUGUUGACCUCGGAUCAGGUAGGAAUACCCGCUGAACUUAAGCAUAUCAAUAAGCGGAGGA